This 240-nucleotide unclassified non-coding RNA is filed under the name soil metagenome. Its description in RNAcentral is "partial contains 5.8S ribosomal RNA, internal transcribed spacer 2, and large subunit ribosomal RNA". The record is from RNAcentral.
AACCAUUCUCACCUGCGGCUAGACCUGCGGAGGGAUCAUUAAAGAUGAUGAUGCCCUUUUUAGGGAACUCCUCCCGGCAUUGCUGGGUGCACUCAUCUCUCCUUGUGAACAGACCUAUUGCUUUGGUAGCAUCCUACCAGUUGGGUUGUUAGCCUACCUCUAGCCUACAAUAAAAUCCUUAUGAUAUUCUGUGAGGUGUCUGAAAAGAAGCAAAUUUUCAUGAAAACUUUUAGCAACGGA